GUUUUUAGCUCAUCCUCCCCAAAAUUGCAUAUUUUAUCCCAGUGGUUCUUAAUUCUCAAUAUCCAUAGUCCUGCGCAGAAUCUUAAAGUUUGGUUAAGUGAAACAGAUUUUAGAAUUUAGUGUAUAUCUCAAAGGUCAGAAUUAAGAAAUUGCCAUGUUUCAUCAGGUGGUUUAUGAAAUACCAGCAUGUAGACCCAGAAGAAGCUGUAAGGAUUCACAUUGAUGUCCAAACAAAGAAAUCUAUGGCAAUUCACUGGGGAACUUUUGCCUUAGCAAAUGAGCAUUACUUAGAGCCUCCAGUGAAGCUGAAUGAAGCUCUAGAGAGAUACGGACUUAACGCUGAAGAUUUUUUUGUCUUGAAGCAUGGAGAAUCAAGAUACCUAAAUACUGAUGAUGAAAACUUUUAAUAAAUGUGAGCACAGGCACUUUUAAUGAAAAAGGCAUCAUCUAAGUUUAAAAACAAAUGAAAAGACUUAGAAAUUCAUGAAUAUUGUGACUAUUUUACAUUUGGAAACAACUUCUGCAAGUUUAUGUUUUAUGUUUUGUGUGAUAACUUGCUUCCUAAUAUGAUCAGCUCAUGUACACUAUGAGAGAGUUCAGGGGUGGGUCAUUUAAAUAAUGAAUUGGCUAAUGUGGAUUUUAAAUUUCAUAUCAUGAUAUAAGCACUGCAAUGGAAAUGUUUUUACUAAAGCAUUAUACUUUUGUGGUACUAGAAUUUCCUGAGGUGAAAAACUGAUAUUGAAGACUCAUUUUUCUUUUUUCCAUUCUUCAGGACCUUCAGCAAGGUGAGUCAAGGCUGUCUACCUACCUAGAUUUUUUUCAGAGGCCUACAAAUACAAGUAUCUUUCUUAUAUGCACAUUAUAAUAAAUGAUGAAAUUCAGUCCAACAUGUUUAUUAUAAACAUAGCAAUUCUUGCUCUAUCAAAUUAGCUUAUAUGCCAAAUAUUAAAUAUGGUUUAUUUCGGUAAGCAUAAAAACAUAGGGGCUAUCAUUUUUAAAGACUUGAUUUUCUCUAUUGUGGUAAAAUAUAUAAAUACGUAUUUGCCAUUUUAAACAUUUAUCAUUUUAACCAUUUUUAAGUGUACAGUUCUUUCGCAUUAAUGCACCUAUGACCACCAUUCACUUAAAUUUUUAAAAGACAGAACAGUAUAUUCUUUUUUUCCUAGAGCCUUCAGAUGAGAGGGAACAGUAUAUUCUAUUGCACGUCUACAAUUCCCAAAAGACCUCUUACUUUGGGAAGCCAAGGUGGGUGGAUCACUUGAACCCAGGAGUUUGACAUCAGCCUGGGCAACAUGGUGACCUCCCGUCUCUCUCAAAAAAAAAAAAGAAGAAAAAGCCAAGUGAGGUGGUGUGUACCUGUAGUCACAGGUACUUGGGAGGCUGAGGUGGGAGGAUCACUUGAGCCCAGGAGGUAGAGGUUGCAGUGAGCUGUGAUUGUACCACUGCACUCCAGCCCGAGUGACAAAAUGAGACCCUGUCUCAAAAGAAGGCCCUCUUCUUAGCUGAGCAGAGGAAGGGAAGGAGUGUGGCUAUAAGAAUAUGAUUUAUGCCAUUUUCUGUUUUUAAAUCUAGAAGAUCUUCUAAGCACAAAUAUAGCUACAAUGAAAUAUUUUACAGACAAAAUGUUAAUAGACCAUAUUCUUUGAAUUAAAUUUGUUUUUAAUUUUCUCUACACAUUUUUUUUUCCUGGAGUCUCUUAGCUCUAAAUAUACCAAUCAGAUUUAUAAUUUUUUUUACCUGAUUCAGAUGUCUUAUAUUUUUAUAUUAAAUGAACCUUAAGCAUGAUUCUUUUGGUAAGCCAGUAUGAAUACCAGUGGUUGGGGGGGGAAGUCAGUUGACAUAAGAUUUAGUCCUAAUAAGGACUCUGUAUUCACUUGAUUAUUCUGACCCUUCCUAAGGGAGGGAGUUGGAUUAGAUACCACUGGAGGCCCACUCUGUAUUCCUAAUCCAGUCUCAGCACUUUAUUCAUACAAAAUAAUCAAAAUAGGUUUUCUACACCAAAUGCUACCCAGGCAGUGCUCUAUAAUUUAUUUGCACAUGUGUAUGUGUGGUGCCACGUUAACCACUAAAUCUGAACUUUUACCCUGCUUUCAUCAUGGAUUUUUUGUGUAACCUGAAACAAGUCACCAAUGCUCACUGUGCCUGUUUCCUCAUUUGCAACAAGAGGAUAAUUCCGACCUACCUCUGAAAAAUGUGUAGAAUAAAUGAGUUUUUAAAGCACUUUAGAAAAUAUAAGGGAGAAAAUGAUUUCUUAAGAUAUCACUGCCUAAUAUAGACAGGUAUAUUUGAAAGCUAAAUACAGGUUAAUGCUUUUGAUAAUGUAUUGUUCCUGUUGCAAAUUUAAGCAUUAUAUAUUAGGAGACUAAACAUCGAAAACUUUAUUUCACUGAUUUUUAAAUUGGAGUAAUAGCCUAAAUAAGUGUAAAUAAUCUUUAUCAAAAUUUAGUGUUUAUCUACAAAGAUGCGAAUCAGUCAAGGGGAAAUGUGUAUGCAAUGUGUGUGUAUAUAAUGUAUGUAAAUGUAUAAUUUUGGGGUACUAAAGCACAAAAAAUCCCCCAUAAAAUAAACCUUCCUGAAAAGACUGAUCAUAAACUUUUUCACUCCAAGCAGAUGUGAAUCAAGAUGUUAGGUUUAUGGUGGGUUAGCUUUGAGGUAUGUUGCCCUAAUACUAGCCAGCGUUGUUGUAGCCAUAUUCCUUGCUGCUGCACGCCGAAUUGAAAAUCCAUCUCUUACCUCUUCUCUAUGAAGCAAGCCAGGUAUGUCUUGCUUAAGUAUUUCUUCUCCAUGAAUGGCCUUAACAUUAUUUUGUAUUCAUGUGUACUGUUUAACUGAGGGUCUCGAAGCACUUUAAACUGUUGUGUUCUAUUUCCACUCGUCUGGCCUGCCUCAUUUUUCUAGGCCCUUUCGUAAGCUGUAAUUUUUUAUUACCACUCACGUUCCUUCUACACUGACACUAUUCAUUAAGAACAUCAAGCUUCAUCUCUGCUUACAGAAUCUCACCUUAUUGAGUGGGUUCCACUUUAUUUUUCAUUUGUUAUCUACAUUUUGAAGGGUUUAUGUGCAAAGUGAAAACAAAUUUUGAAAAAUAAGACAAAUCCAUUCUCUUCUUCAAUUCAGUCUAAUAUGCAUUGUAGUGUCUUUUAGUCAGUCUUAUCCUCUAAGUCAACUUGAUUUUCCUCUUUGUGAAUACCCAUAGCAAUAUGUAUAAGAUUUUAUUGAAGUUUCCUGUGAUAACUGAGGAACACUUUGCUAUGCCUCACUGCCCAAUAGGGUGGGUCAUCAAUUAGGAGAAAUCCCAAAUUAUAAAAGCCAACAUAUGCCGUGACCUACGUAGGGAAAGAUGUAUUUGUGCAUCUUCUUUCUGGGUAGUUAAAAAUUACUCCCUCUUUUCUCUAGCAUUUUGACAUUUCAGACUCAAUGCUCUGAUCUCUAGGGAGUGUGAUUAUUCAAACUAAUGAGAGAGGACAAGAAGACACAGUUUUAGAAUCCACUGCUGCUAAAGCACAUUAAAAACAAAUCCUGGUUUUUAAUGUAUGCAUAUUUUCAUAUUUAAUGAAUAUGCUUUCACUAAAUAGGGAGGUAGAUUUGAAAAAACUUAUAAAGAAAUGUGCCUUUUGGGGAAUGAAUACUUUUGUUCAUGUCUAGCCCACUGGGAAUUUUGUUUUCACCUUAUACUGAGCCCUUUUUCUAAUGUAAAAAUAUUUCUUCCAAGUUUGAUUUCUGUAUCAGGGUAACAUUGAGAUCACACAUAUUUCUGUUUGAGGAUUUGUGACUUCCUAUGGAAACAGUCUUUUAUCUAUGUAUUUACAAAUGAAAUUUAAAGUAUUCUUAAAGCUUUGCCUUAAAUACUGCUUGCAUACUGAUUUACUUAAUGCUAAGCAUGGCAGGGGUUAUAAAUUUAAAUAUAUAAGACCUGGCUGAAUCCCAGAUGUAUCAAUAAAUUGUUAUAGUAGCUUAUGGAAUAAAAAUACUAUUAAAGAUAACAAAUUUUCAUACAUUGUAUUUUUAGUCAAGUAAAAUAUGGAUGAAAAUAAAGUACUGUCAAGGGAAAAAAUA
RNAcentral lists this small RNA (4056 nucleotides) under Pongo abelii (Sumatran orangutan). Its description in RNAcentral is "retained intron". Lineage: Eukaryota; Metazoa; Chordata; Mammalia; Primates; Hominidae. The record is from RNAcentral.